ACAGUGCCGCCAGCAUUACCAGCAAGUUUGUCCCAUUAACACUAGCAGAUUUGUUUCUGCAUCACCAGCAAAUGUGUUCCUGGAUCACCAGCAGGCGUGUCCCAUCAACAUCAGAAGAUGUGUUCCAGCAUCACCAGCAGAUGUGUUCCAGCAUCACCAGCAGAUGUGUUCCAGCAUCACCAGCAGAUGUGUUCCAGCAUCACCAGCAGAUGUGUUCCAGCAUCACCAGCAGAUGUGUUAGAGCAAAUGUGUUCUAGGAUCACCAGCAGACGUAUAGAAAAUAUUAAAUGCAGCUCAGCACUAUGAUAUACCAAAACAAUGUGUGUAGUGUCUACAACAUUUUAAAUCCAGAAAAAGGCAAAAGUUUAUAUCAAUAAUACUAGUAAUAAAAUAAAAUAAAAUAAAUUAAAAGUAACAAAUUAACUCAUGUGCUGGAAUCUUUUUUUCUACCAUACGCUUUUGUGCAAACUGGAUAUUGGGUAAAGAGGUGAUAGCAUAGUUUGAAAGGUGAAGGAACACGUGGGACACAUAUUUAUAAUUGGGAGUGAUUGUGGAGCACAAAUAUAAAA
This is a long non-coding RNA of Rana temporaria (common frog), 569 nucleotides long. RefSeq lists it as uncharacterized. NCBI's taxonomy places the organism in Eukaryota, Metazoa, Chordata, Amphibia, Anura, Ranidae. The record is from RefSeq and is a predicted model, not a curated record. The transcript has 2 exons.